GAUAAGAACGUAGCGAAAUGCGAUAAGUAGUGUGAAUUGCAGAAUUCAGUGAAUCAUCGAAUCUUUGAACGCACAUUGCGCCCUUUGGUAUUCCAAAGGGCAUGCCUGUUCGGGCGUCAUUUGUACCCUCAAGCUUUGCUUGGUGUUGGGCGUCUUGUCUCUAGCUUUGCUGGAGACUCGCCUUAAAGUAAUUGGCAGCCGGCCUACUGGUUUCGGAGCGCAGCACAAGUCGCACUCUCUAUCAGCAAAGGUCUAGCAUCCAUUAAGCCUUUUUUUCAACUUUUGACCUCGGAUCAGGUAGGGAUACCCGCUGAACUUAAGCAUAUCAAUAAGCGGAGGA
Molecule: unclassified non-coding RNA, 340 nt
Filed under: soil metagenome
Description: partial contains 5.8S ribosomal RNA, internal transcribed spacer 2, and large subunit ribosomal RNA
Rfam family: 5.8S ribosomal RNA (bases 4-119)
Source: RNAcentral